Molecule: ribosomal RNA, 254 nt
Filed under: uncultured bacterium
Lineage: Bacteria
Description: partial 16S ribosomal RNA
Rfam family: Bacterial small subunit ribosomal RNA
Source: RNAcentral
CACGUAGGGGGCAAGCGUUGUCCGGAUUUAUUGGGCGUAAAGAGCUCGUAGGCGGCUCAGUAAGUCAGGUGUGAAACCUCCAGGCUCAACCUGGAGACGCCACCUGAUACUGCUGUGGCUAGAGUCCGGUAGGGGAGCGUGGAAUUCCUGGUGUAGCGGUGAAAUGCGCAGAUAUCAGGAGGAACACCGGUGGCGAAGGCGGGUCUCUGGGCAGUAACUGACGCUGAGGAGCGAAAGCGUGGGGAGCGAACAGG